CUGUGAUGCCCUUAGAUGUCCUGGGCGGCACGCGCGUUACACUGAUGCACUCAACGAGUCUACCUUGGCCGAGAGGCCUGGGAAAUCUUGUUAACAUGCAUCGUGAUAGGGAUAGAUUAUUGCAAUUAUUAAUCUUGAACGAGGAAUUCCUAGUAAACGCAGAUCAUCAAUCUGCAUUGAUUACGUCCCUGCCCUUUGUACACACCGCCCGUCGCACCUACCGAUUGAAUGGUCCGGUGAAGCCUCGGGAUUGCGAUGAGUUUCCUUCAUUGGGAGUUCGUCGCGAGAACCUGUCUAAACCUUAUCAUUUAGAGGAAGGUGAAGUCGUAACAAGGUUUCC
Molecule: ribosomal RNA, 340 nt
Filed under: Fragilariales sp. endosymbiont of Amphistegina gibbosa
Lineage: Eukaryota; Bacillariophyta; Fragilariophyceae; Fragilariales
Description: SSU rRNA
Rfam family: Eukaryotic small subunit ribosomal RNA
Source: RNAcentral